Molecule: ribosomal RNA, 1749 nt
Filed under: human gut metagenome
Description: bacterial LSU rRNA
Rfam family: Bacterial large subunit ribosomal RNA
Source: RNAcentral
ACAACCAGGAUGUUGGCUUAGAAGCAGCCACUCAUUAAAAGAGUGCGUAAUAGCUCACUGGUCGAGUGAUUCUGCGCCGAAAAUUUAACGGGGCUAAACUAUACACCGAAGCUUAGGAUACCGCAAGGUAUGGUAGGAGAGCGUUCUGUACGGAGUGAAGUCGUAGCGAAAGCGGCGGUGGACUGUACAGAAGUGAGAAUGCCGGAAUAAGUAGCGAGAAUUAAGUGAGAAUCUUAAUGGCCGAAAGUCUAAGGUUUUUGGAGGAAGGUUCGUCCGCUCCAAGUAAGUCGGGAGCUAAGGUCAGGCCGAAAGGCGUAGCCGAUGCACAAACGGUUGAUAUUCCGUUACCGUCUACAAUUUAAACAAAGGGACACAUACAAAGCGUUUAACCCGGGCGAUGGUUGACCCGGGCGCAAGGGACUGAAAUAAGAGUAGGGAAGUAAAUGUGGCGUAUGGCGAGAAAAGCUUUGUGAAUAGAAGUAGACGCCCGUACCGCAAACCGACACAGGUGGACAGGAAGAGAAUUCUAAGGCCAGCGGGAGAAGGGUAGUUAAGGAACUCGGCAAAUUGACUCCGUAACUUCGGAAUAAGGAGUGCUCGAAAGAGCCGCAGAGAAUAGGCCCAGGCGACUGUUUAGCAAAAACACAGGUCUCUGCCAAAUCGAAAGAUGAAGUAUAGGGGCUGACACCUGCCCGGUGCCGGAAGGUUAAGAGGAGGAGUGCAAGCUCCGAAUUGAAGCCCCGGUAAACGGCGGCCGUAACUAUAACGGUCCUAAGGUAGCGAAAUUCCUUGUCGGGUAAGUUCCGACCCGCACGAAUGGUGUAACGAUCUGGGCACUGUCUCAACUACCCACCCGGCGAAAUUGUAGUACCGGUGAAGAUGCCGGUUACCUGCGGCAAGACGGAAAGACCCCAUGGAGCUUUACUGUAGCCUGAUAUUGGGUUUCGGAAAUCUAUGUACAGGAUAGGCGGGAGACUGGGAAGUAUGAGCGUCAGCUUAUACGGAGUCGUUGUUGGGAUACCGCCCUUAGGUUUCUGGAAUUCUAACCUGCGACCGUGAAUCCGGUCGGGGGACAUUGUCAGGUGGGCAGUUUGACUGGGGCGGUCGCCUCCGAAAAGGUAACGGAGGCGCUCAAAGGUUGGCUCAGCACGGACGGAAACCGUGCCUCAGAGUGUAAACGCAAAAGCCAGCCUAACUGCGAGGAUGACGGUCCGAGCAGUAACGAAAGUUGGAGUUAGUGAUCCGGCGGUAUGUGAAUGGAAAUGCCGUCGCUCAACGGAUAAAAGCUACCCUGGGGAUAACAGGCUGAUCUCCCCCAAGAGUCCACAUCGACGGGGAGGUUUGGCACCUCGAUGUCGGCUCAUCACAUCCUGGGGCUGUAUUCGGUCCCAAGGGUUCGGCUGUUCGCCGAUUAAAGUGGUACGCGAGCUGGGUUCAGAACGUCGCGAGACAGUUCGGUCCCUAUCUGUCGUGGGCGCAGGAUAUUUGAGGAGCUCUGUCCUUAGUACGAGAGGACCGGGAUGGACGUACCUCUGGUGCACCAGUUGUCAUGCCAAUGGCACGGCUGGGCAGCUACGUACGGAACGGAUAAACGCUGAAAGCAUCUAAGCGUGAAGCCGACUCCAAGAUUAGAUAUCCCAUUGCAUAAGCAAGUAAGACCCCUUGAGGACUACGAGGUUGAUAGGCUGCGUGUGUAAGUGUCGUGAGGCAUUUAGCUUGGCAGUACUAAUAGGUCGAGGGCUUGACCAC